GAUGAAGAACGCAGCGAAAUGCGAUACGUAAUGUGAAUUGCAGAAUUCAGUGAAUCAUCGAGUCUUUGAACGCACAUUGCGCCCUCUGGUAUUCCGGAGGGCAUGCCUGUCCGAGCAUCAUUGCUGCCCUCAAGCACGGCUUGUGUGUUGGGCCCCGCCCCCCGAUCCCGGGGGGCGGGCCCGAAAGGCAGCGGCGGCACCGCGUCCGGUCCUCGAGCGUAUGGGGCUUUGUCACCCGCUCUGUAGGCCCGGCCGGCGCUUGCCGAUCAACCAAACUUUUUUCCAGGUUGACCUCGGAUCAGGUAGGGAUACCCGCUGAACUUAAGCAUAUCAAUAAGCGGAGGA
This 345-nucleotide unclassified non-coding RNA is filed under the name soil metagenome. RNAcentral describes it as "partial contains 5.8S ribosomal RNA, internal transcribed spacer 2, and large subunit ribosomal RNA". The stretch from base 1 to 120 matches the Rfam family "5.8S ribosomal RNA", at positions 35 to 154 of the family's 154-position model. The record is from RNAcentral.